AUAUACCAACAAUUCCAUCAUCAUCCAAAAAUAAAAGUCAUCAUGAAUAACAAUUGUAUCAUGAAUAACAAUAAUAUCAUUCAAGCUCCAAAAAAUAAGUCACCACAUCCAGUAAAUAACAGGGUCAUCAUCAGUCAAAAAAUUACAGGCCAUCAUCAUCAUCCAAAAAAUUACAGGUCAUCAUCAUCAUCCAAAAAAUUACAGGCCAUCAUCAUCCAAAAAAUUACAGGCCAUAAUCAUCCAUCAUCAUCCAAAAAAUAAUAGGAUCAUCAUCAUCUAAAAAAUAACAGAGCAUUCAUCCAAAAGAUAACAGAGCAUUCUUAACAUGAACUGACUCUCAACCUAGCAAUCUAUUUGCAUCAAU
RNAcentral lists this long non-coding RNA (364 nucleotides) under Ananas comosus (pineapple). Its description in RNAcentral is "long non-coding RNA (ACOM_LNC003569)". The record is from RNAcentral. Lineage: Eukaryota; Viridiplantae; Streptophyta; Magnoliopsida; Poales; Bromeliaceae.